GGCCGCCCUGCCCGGACCGCGACCUGGAGGGCAGGUGCGGGGAGGGGGGGGGGGCACCCGGGCACCCCUGGGCGUCACCAGCCCCGAGUUCUAAUUCGUCCCGAGACCAUCGGCUGCCUCAGCCCUUCCCGGUUCUAAAAACGCCGUCAACGCUUGCAAAGUUCCAGCAGUGAAAAUGCUUAGGAUCAUAGAAGCCCACCUGCUACUGACAAACCAGAAAGACCAUCUCAUCCUAAAGUCUGACACAACAGCUCCUUCUAGAAUCUGUAGCAUCAACAGAGGCCCUUACCACCCUCAGGGCGGCCCUGCCCUCCAGCUGCUGAUGAUGAAGAAAGGGAGGGCGAGGCCGUCAGGACAGACUGAGGUUCUGUGCCGCCUGACCUUGGAGUCAAGCUCCCCCUAGGAACAGCUCUCUGCGGGGGGCAGCGGCUUCACUGCAGGGGGAGUCAACCCAGAAAAUGAGAAAUUUUGUAAACGGCCUCCGGGCAGAAGCCCUUCCAGCCACGGAUGUGACGUGGGCCGUGACGGAAACGAGGAGGGCCUACUCCCCUAAAGAGGAUUCCAUAAAGCCUCGUCAUAAGCUCUUCUUCUGUUGGAUUUAUCAUUGGAUUUCCUGAAGUCCCUAAAAAGAUACUCCGAGGAGAGGUGACAUUCAUCUGACAUUCAUCAGCUGUGUGCCAAGAACUUUCUGGGCCCCACAGUAGAUACCAGCGAACACAUCAGGUGACCUGUCCUCCCGCCACUCACAUUCCAGUGAGACGUGCCGUAAACAAGAAAACUGCUGAUGGCGAUGAGUGCCCUGUAAACUAAACAGGGUGAUGUGACAUCGACUGCUGGUGGCAUCGGAGCUGAGACCUAGAGGGACGAAAAGGAGUCGGGCAGGUCAAGGGCUACCGCUGCUCUGGAAGUCAGGAAGUCAGGCUCAGUGAGGGACACAGCCCAGAUUUCUCUUUUCAGGGGCAGUUGCAGACCCCGACGCUGUCUUCUCCUUGCCUGGAAAGAACCGUGAGGACUUGGAGGGCCAUUCUGAGGGGGCUGGCAGUGGACAGUCCACCAAACCAUCCAAUACAGGUUUACCCUGCAACUUGGGCUUUCAGAAACCAGUAGUGAGUGAGUAGGGCUUUUGUUAGACCCCUUCCUCCAUGCCAUGCCUCGCUUAGCUGUAGCCCUUGGGCUAUGAAGAUUUCACCUCUGAAGAAAGGAUCUUCUUCCCACCAGGUAUAAGGGUAAGGGAGUACAGAUGCCCUCUAGCCCCUGUGGCUUCCUCGACCUCUGCCCUUCUGCAUCCCAGACCCACGUGGGUGACACUCGGGUCUGAGAUGGUUUCUAGCUGCCACUUUGGGGCCAGGCCAAUGAGGCUGCUCACUACCAGGGGAUUCUCUGCUCACAGGGGACUCUCUCUGGGGCUUGGCAAAGACAUAGUACUGGCCUCGGAAUACACUUCUGGGGGGUCGGGAGGUCAGUCUCACGGAAAGUAGCAUCACGUGGGCAGCCAGUGCCCGUGUGCCAAACAUCAGACUCCCAAAGUGUCUGCACACACGACAGGCCUUCAUUUCCACCGUGGAGGAGGCUCCCCAGACGGUGACCUCAUCCUGGCUCUCGGGAGUCCUCAUGGCCACAACCCAUGGAUACAAAUGACAACAUACCUGUCAGGCUUGGGCCAGAUGGUCCAGCUGCACCAGAUGUUUAGUGGCUGGCUGGACAGAUUCUGUGACAAUGAAAACCCCCCAAAUGGGUCCCUCAAAACCACAUGGCACCUUUGGAUUGAAACAUAUACUACCCUGAUGCUUUGCCUUACCUCUGUGGAAAAAGGAAUGAGGGGAAAGGGAGUAGGAAGGAUGAAGAAGGAAACAGGUUGUGGAAGACCCAGCUAAUAAAUCAGAAGAACACUAUAGAUACAACCCUACUCCUCCCCAACUAAGACAGAAGGCUCACCUUGGGCUGUGCUUAAGGGACAAAGCUACUGACUUCCCAGAAAGCACUCAGCUCAUGGGUCACCACCUCCAGAAACUUCCCGCCUACUUCCCCAGAACUCCUCCUUGGGAGGAGUUGGCCACAGUGCCCUGAGAGUCCUUGCACCCUGACAGUAGUCACACAGAGCAUUUGUCACGGGGCAUCUGGCCAGCAGCAGUUUGUCCCCAACCACUGUGAGCCACCAAUCCUAGAAGCUGGCCGCCUCCCAGUGGCUACUGCCCAACAGCACACUCAAGUGCCUGCUGGAUGCAGUGUGGCGUUGCCGUGUCCACAGACUCGGCUCCUGAACAGAGAGGCAGACAUCACAGGGGCUGAGGGUACACUUGUUUCCCACCCUGACCCAGACCUGGGAAAGCGAUGAGGGAAGCAAACUGUCCAAUCCGCAGUUUAUCAGCAAGUAAGGCAAUGGUGACACUUGGAAUAUCCCCCUGAGAGGUCUCUUAAGAGGGCCUUCAUGGGCCUUCUACCACCCGCGGCAGGUGCUCACAGCUGGGUUGCAUGUGAGUCACCUACCAUUUGCCUCUUCCUUCCGGCUGCCCUGAAGUCUCUCGCCAUGGCCUCGGUUCUCAGAAGCCAUGGCUACUAACUUGGGCAGCGAGCAGCUUUGAGAGAAUAGGCAAAGCCCAACAUCUAGGCCCUGUGAGAGCCCCUCUCUGCCCUGCAGUGAACCAGGUCUAAGCGCUCCAGGAAGGGAUUCCCAGGCAGCCAGGUAGCACUGAUGUGGAACACCCUGAAGAAAGCUGCCUACAGCCUUAGCUCCCUAAAGAGACUGGGAGUUUUAUCCAAUUCUGCAAAGUUAGAACUGCCACGUUUAAGCAGACAUGGCAAGAAAAUACCAUGACAAAAUACCUGUGUCUGGCACUCCAGGUGACCGGGAGCUCUCCAGGACGCUCCCCUUACAGAAUCAUAUCAUGAAUUUCGUGCAUACACACAAUUUUUCAUUUGCAAGGAGGAGGGCUCUAUGUACUCCUUCCCUGCCUUACUCUCCAGAGAAAACCAGGAGGGAGUUAGAACAGCGAGAACUUGCUAGAGACAUGUUGACCUGAGGGUGGUUAGGGACACUAAGGCCCAGGGCUGGCAGCAUGAUGAGGUCAGGAGUCUGGGACUGGUGCCCUGAGGAGAGUCCUGGAGGAGCUGGUAUGCUUCCAGAUUGCUGCAUGUCAGCCUACAAACAAAAGCGCAUCCUCUUUGAAAGUAAGCAUUCCAGUUUAGGCCUCGAGCAGGGGUCCAUAAACUAUAGCCCACAGGACAAGUCCGGCAGCUGCCUGCUUUUGUAAAUAAAGUUCUACUUGACAACAGCCAGGUCCAUUCAUUUAUAUGAAUGUUGGAAGUAUUCUAUAACCUGUCCCGCCCUGGGAAUAACUCAGAAGCAAAAGCAGUAGCUACUCGAUACAUGUGGCCACUGUGAACAUGAAAUGUGGCUUAUGUGACCAAAGAACUGAACUUUCAACUUUAAGUUUAAUUAAUUUUAAUAUAAAUAGCCACAUGUGGCUAUUAGCUAUCAUUAGUGCAGCAUAGAUUAAGAUCAAGCCCUUUUAGCAAGAUGACAAGAACCAAUUCACACUCGAAGAUUUCUUGGAAUUAUCAGAUAAAGAUAAUUAUAUGAAACAAUGUUUAAAGAAAUAAAGGACAUAAUCAUGGGGCGCCUGAGUGGCUCAGUAGGUGAAGCAUCUGACUCUUGAUUACACUUGGGUCAUGA
Canis lupus familiaris (dog) is the source of this 3673-nucleotide long non-coding RNA. RefSeq lists it as uncharacterized. The transcript is spliced from 4 exons. The record is from RefSeq and is a predicted model, not a curated record. NCBI's taxonomy places the organism in Eukaryota, Metazoa, Chordata, Mammalia, Carnivora, Canidae.